Long non-coding RNA from Bos taurus (domestic cattle), 534 nucleotides. NCBI's taxonomy places the organism in Eukaryota, Metazoa, Chordata, Mammalia, Artiodactyla, Bovidae. The record is from Ensembl.
GGAGCCGUGAAGCAGCACCCAGCAGGGAGUCACCUCACCGGGAAGAAAAGGAGGCCCACAGCAGAGGAGGGAGCAUCUCCUUUUGCAAGUGCUCCAGCGAAUCAGUGAGGCAGGGACACACGAGUCACAGCUGAGCCUCACGCCGCCUCCGAUCCAGCCGUUUGCAGAGGUUCAGAGGCCAGAGGAAUACAGCAAGUGACACCCAGAGAUGACAUCGGCCAGUCCAGCUGGCGGGCCCUCUGCAGGCCGAGCGGGCAGCUUCGCCGCUGCGGUUACAUGGGAGGAGGAGAGGGGGGCGCCCGUGUGGGCAGAGGAGGUGCUGCAGUCACCCGGCAAGAGGCCCUGAGCGCGAGUGUGACUCAAACUCCACAAAGAAGCUUGUGAGACAGUCUUGGAACUCUGAGUCCUGCCUGAAUAGUUGAUGAUAAUGAAGCCUUUUUUUUUUUUUUUUUAAGGUUUGGUAGGUGGUUAUGCUUUUAUAAAAAAGAACUUUCAUAUUUUAGCAAUUUAUACUGCUGUAUCUCUAGAUAAAAU